Molecule: ribosomal RNA, 452 nt
Filed under: uncultured organism
Description: partial 16S ribosomal RNA
Rfam family: Bacterial small subunit ribosomal RNA
Source: RNAcentral
UACACUCCUGCGGGAGGCAGCAGUGGGGAAUAUUGGACAAUGGGCGCAAGCCUGAUCCAGCCAUGCCGCGUGAGUGAUGAAGGCCCUAGGGUUGUAAAGCUCUUUCACCGGUGAAGAUAAUGACGGUAACCGGAGAAGAAGCCCCGGCUAACUUCGUGCCAGCAGCCGCGGUAAUACGAAGGGGGCUAGCGUUGUUCGGAUUUACUGGGCGUAAAGCGCACGUAGGCGGACUAUUAAGUCAGGGGUGAAAUCCCGGGGCUCAACCCCGGAACUGCCUUUGAUACUGGUAGUCUUGAGUUCGAGAGAGGUGAGUGGAAUUCCGAGUGUAGAGGUGAAAUUCGUAGAUAUUCGGAGGAACACCAGUGGCGAAGGCGGCUCACUGGCUCGAUACUGACGCUGAGGUGCGAAAGCGUGGGGAGCAAACAGGAUUAGAAACCCUGGUAGUCCCAUGA